AUUAAGUUAGUUUAAGUAAAAACAUAAAUUUUGUAAAUUUAAAAUU
This 46-nucleotide transfer RNA is filed under the name Oxytate striatipes. RNAcentral's name for it is "tRNA-Thr". Lineage: Eukaryota; Metazoa; Arthropoda; Arachnida; Araneae; Thomisidae. The record is from RNAcentral.